RNAcentral lists this ribosomal RNA (1247 nucleotides) under Bacillus amyloliquefaciens. RNAcentral describes it as "bacterial SSU rRNA". It matches the Rfam family "Bacterial small subunit ribosomal RNA", at positions 80 to 1313 of the family's 1533-position model. Lineage: Bacteria; Bacillati; Bacillota; Bacilli; Caryophanales; Bacillaceae. The record is from RNAcentral.
UGCUCCCUGAUGUUAGCGGCGGACGGGUGAGUAACACGUGGGUAACCUGCCUGUAAGACUGGGAUAACUCCGGGAAACCGGGGCUAAUACCGGAUGCUUGUUUGAACCGCAUGGUUCAAACAUAAAAGGUGGCUUCGGCUACCACUUACAGAUGGACCCGCGGCGCAUUAGCUAGUUGGUGAGGUAACGGCUCACCAAGGCGACGAUGCGUAGCCGACCUGAGAGGGUGAUCGGCCACACUGGGACUGAGACACGGCCCAGACUCCUACGGGAGGCAGCAGUAGGGAAUCUUCCGCAAUGGACGAAAGUCUGACGGAGCAACGCCGCGUGAGUGAUGAAGGUUUUCGGAUCGUAAAGCUCUGUUGUUAGGGAAGAACAAGUGCCGUUCAAAUAGGGCGGCACCUUGACGGUACCUAACCAGAAAGCCACGGCUAACUACGUGCCAGCAGCCGCGGUAAUACGUAGGUGGCAAGCGUUGUCCGGAAUUAUUGGGCGUAAAGGGCUCGCAGGCGGUUUCUUAAGUCUGAUGUGAAAGCCCCCGGCUCAACCGGGGAGGGUCAUUGGAAACUGGGGAACUUGAGUGCAGAAGAGGAGAGUGGAAUUCCACGUGUAGCGGUGAAAUGCGUAGAGAUGUGGAGGAACACCAGUGGCGAAGGCGACUCUCUGGUCUGUAACUGACGCUGAGGAGCGAAAGCGUGGGGAGCGAACAGGAUUAGAUACCCUGGUAGUCCACGCCGUAAACGAUGAGUGCUAAGUGUUAGGGGGUUUCCGCCCCUUAGUGCUGCAGCUAACGCAUUAAGCACUCCGCCUGGGGAGUACGGUCGCAAGACUGAAACUCAAAGGAAUUGACGGGGGCCCGCACAAGCGGUGGAGCAUGUGGUUUAAUUCGAAGCAACGCGAAGAACCUUACCAGGUCUUGACAUCCUCUGACAAUCCUAGAGAUAGGACGUCCCCUUCGGGGGCAGAGUGACAGGUGGUGCAUGGUUGUCGUCAGCUCGUGUCGUGAGAUGUUGGGUUAAGUCCCGCAACGAGCGCAACCCUUGAUCUUAGUUGCCAGCAUUCAGUUGGGCACUCUAAGGUGACUGCCGGUGACAAACCGGAGGAAGGUGGGGAUGACGUCAAAUCAUCAUGCCCCUUAUGACCUGGGCUACACACGUGCUACAAUGGGCAGAACAAAGGGCAGCGAAACCGCGAGGUUAAGCCAAUCCCACAAAUCUGUUCUCAGUUCGGAUCGCAGUCUGCAACUC